UAAAGUGGCGUACGGGUGAGUAACACGUGGAUUAUCUACCCUCUAGUGGGGGGAUAACCCUGGGAAACCGGGGCUAAUACCGCAUAAGCUCGAGAGAGGAAAGCAGCAAUGCGCUGGAAGAGGAGUCCGCGGCCGAUUACGCUAGUUGGUAGGGUAAAAGCCUACCAAGGCAACGAUCGGUAGCCGGCCUGAGAGGGCACACGGCCACACUGGCACUGAAACACGGGCCAG
RNAcentral lists this ribosomal RNA (231 nucleotides) under uncultured bacterium. Its description in RNAcentral is "partial 16S ribosomal RNA". It matches the Rfam family "Bacterial small subunit ribosomal RNA", at positions 91 to 334 of the family's 1533-position model. The record is from RNAcentral.